This 558-nucleotide ribosomal RNA is filed under the name uncultured beta proteobacterium. Its description in RNAcentral is "bacterial SSU rRNA". It matches the Rfam family "Bacterial small subunit ribosomal RNA", at positions 53 to 608 of the family's 1533-position model. The record is from RNAcentral. Lineage: Bacteria; Pseudomonadati; Pseudomonadota; Betaproteobacteria.
ACAUGCAAGUCGAACGGUAACAGGUCUUCGGAUGCUGACGAGUGGCGAACGGGUGAGUAAUACAUCGGAACGUGCCUAGUAGUGGGGGAUAACUACUCGAAAGAGUAGCUAAUACCGCAUGAGAUCUACGGAUGAAAGCAGGGGACCUUCGGGCCUUGUGCUACUAGAGCGGCUGAUGGCAGAUUAGGUAGUUGGUGGGGUAAAGGCUUACCAAGCCUGCGAUCUGUAGCUGGUCUGAGAGGACGACCAGCCACACUGGGACUGAGACACGGGCCAGACUCCUACGGGAGGCAGCAGUGGGGAAUUUUGGACAAUGGGCGAAAGCCUGAUCCAGCAAUGCCGCGUGCAGGAUGAAGGCCCUCGGGUUGUAAACUGCUUUUGUACGGAACGAAAAGCCUGGGGCUAAUACCCCCGGGUCAUGACGGUACCGUAAGAAUAAGCACCGGCUAACUACGUGCCAGCAGCCGCGGUAAUACGUAGGGUGCAAGCGUUAAUCGGAAUUACUGGGCGUAAAGCGUGCGCAGGCGGUUUUGUAAGACAGUGGUGAAAUCCCCGGGC